UACGAAGGGGCUAGCGUUGCUCGGAAUCACUGGGCGUAAAGCGCACGUAGGCGGACUCUUAAGUCGGUGGUGAAAUCCUGGAGCUCAACUCCAGAACUGCCUUCGAUACUGGAAGACUUGAGUCCGGGAGAGGUGAGUGGAACUGCGAGUGUAGAGGUGAAAUUCGUAGAUAUUCGCAAGAACACCGGUGGCGAAGGCGGGACUCUGGGCCGAUACUGACGCUGAGGAGCGAAAGCGUGGGGAGCAAACAGG
This 252-nucleotide ribosomal RNA is filed under the name uncultured bacterium. RNAcentral's name for it is "partial 16S ribosomal RNA". It matches the Rfam family "Bacterial small subunit ribosomal RNA", at positions 524 to 776 of the family's 1533-position model. The record is from RNAcentral.